Non-coding RNA from Caenorhabditis japonica, 1389 nucleotides. The record is from Rfam. NCBI's taxonomy places the organism in Eukaryota, Metazoa, Nematoda, Chromadorea, Rhabditida, Rhabditidae.
CAGAUCGUAAUGGUAGUAGCAAAUAUUCAAGUUCGAUCCUUGAAGACUGAAGUGGAGAAGGGUUCCACGUGAACAGUAGUUGGAUGUGGGUCAGUCGAUCCUAAGGUACUGGCGAAAGCCUUGUAUCAUCGGUGGCGAAAAGCUUGCUUUUUGUCCCCGCCCGUCGAAAGGGAAUAGGGUUAAUAUUCCCUAACUGAGAUGCAAAGAUUGUGUUCUUCGGAGCACAAGCGCGGUAACGCGUUCGAACUUGGUAAGUCGCUCAGAGACCGAGCUAGAGUUUUCUUCUCUAGUUAAGGAACGGACUCCCUGGAAUUGGUUCAGCCAGAGAUGGGGACGUUGUUUCCGAAAAGCACCGCGGUUUCUGUGGUGUCUCGUGCUCUCUGAACGGCCCUUUAAACACCAAGGGAGGCUAUUAAUUUGCACUCAAUCGUACCGAUAUCCGCAUUAGGUCUCCAAGGUGAACAGCCUCUAGUCGAUAGAAUAAUGUAGGUAAGGGAAGUCGGCAAACUAGAUCCGUAACUUCGGGAAAAGGAUUGGCUCCAGUGGUCGGAACGGUUGGCCAGUUGGUUGAUGCUUGUCCGGCGCUGUUCUGUCUGCUUGAUGCUUUCGGGCUGAUGGCGGCCUAGUGAUAGUGCUUGCUUGUUGACGCUUUCUGGUGUGUGCUUUGACCUCGGUCUUAGUAUCCUGAUCGUUCAUCUAAACGACUAAACUGGAACCGGUACGGACUCAGGGAAUCCGACUGUCUAAUUAAAACAGAGGUGACAGAUGGUCCUUGCGGACGCUGACUGUCACUGAUUUCUGCCCAGUGCUCUGAAUGUUAAAUCGUAAUAAUUCAAUUAAUCGCGGGUAAACGGCGGGAGUAACUAUGACUCUCUUAAGGUAGUCAAAUGCCUCGUCAUUUAAUUGUUGACGCGCAUGAAUGGAUUAACGAGAUUCCUACUGUCCCUAACUACUAUCUAGCGAAACCACAGCCAAGGGAACGGGCUUGGCAAAAAAUAGCGGGGAAAGAAGACCCUGUUGAGCUUGACUCUAGUUUGACAUUGUGAAGAGUCAUGAGAGGUGUAGCAUAGGUGGGAGUCUUCGGACGCCAAUGAAAUACCACCACUUUCAUCGACUCUUUACUUAUUCGGUUAAAAGAGAAUUGGUCGCAAGGCCUCUUUUUCGAAGUAUUAAGCGGAUCCAUUUUUAUGGAACCGUGACUCUCCCCGAAGACAGUGUCAAGCGGGGAGUUUGACUGGGGCGGUACAUCUAUCAAAUCGUAACGUAGGUGUCCUAAGGCGAGCUCAGAGAGGACGGAAACCUCUCGUAGAGCAAAAGGGCAAAAGCUUGCUUGAUCUUGACUUUCAGUACGAGUACAGACCGCGAAAGCGUGGCCUAUCGAUCCUUUUA